GGCGUUGAAUGACGCGGAGGAGCCGACGACGUCGCGGCAGAGCUCUGUGCUCGCGCCACGUAUGCCAUGCCGUCCCGCGCGCCGCGCCCAGCAUCCCGUCGGUCCUCCGGCUCCAUGCUAGAUUUCACACCGGCAGCCGGCGAGUUGCCAGCGAGGAAGGGGAUGGAAGCUAGGGGACUGGCCGAGUGCGUGCGGCGCUAACUGCUCCGGCGCGCCGUGGCGUGAUGGCCGCGACAGACCCCACAAGGGGUGGACGGUAUUUGAGAUACCAACCGGGUGGACUGUAUUUGAGAUACCGAUCACCCUGGUCACCUGCCAGUCGUCCGAUCGAUAUCAUGCGGCCAAGAUCGGCGCGUAGCAGAAGGCUCCUUGCACGAUGUCAGGUGCGCGCGCGGCAGCCGGUGGUCGUGGUCCGAUGGCUCAGGAGAUGCAGCGGCUUCCUGAUCACUCCGGCGGCGGCGGCGGCGGCCGCUGGGGCGUGAGGCGGCGAGCCGUGGCGCAAGGCGCAGCCAUACGUGUUCGCGGAAGUGCCACGCUCGCUCGGGCAGAGGGUUCUCCAUCCCGUUGCCACCGUGUUGAGGGGGGCUCGACCGACCGGGGAGGAGAGGGACGGGGGCGCGGGAGCCGUGGAGAACGAGGACGGGGCGGCCGCGGAUGGCAGCCGAUGCGUCGUCCCCCACGACUGCCGCUCUCGGGGUUCAGAGGUACGCUCGAUUUACUUCUCCCCGAUCUCACAUGCGACGACCUGCUACCUGCGCGGCGUCUCCUCUGUGUCGAGGGCGUUUCGAACUAGAGUAGAGUAGCCUGGCAGUGGCAGGCGAUGCAAUUCAACUUGCAAGAUUCUUACAGCCUCUGAGAGAAGGGGUGGCGCAAGAAGCUGCAGCGCGCUGCUCCAGAGUGUGAUGACACGCUGCACAAAUGCAAUCAGAGAGUCCUUUACUUGAAGAUGAAAACGUGGACACAGCAAGUGAGGAAUUCCAACAUGGCCCUAUCAGCGUCAGCUCCCAGCUGCUUACGGCGGCGCCACCAUAGUCCAUAGCCGCCGGCGGGAGGAAGAGCAGGGACGGAGGCUAGCCAUGGCCAGACGGCCGCGUCUCUCUCCCGGUGGUUCACAGAAUUGAAUGACGCGGAGUGUUAGCAAUAAUCUGGACAUGGGAGUGUUAGCGUGUGUGUGUCAAGUUCAUGUUCAGACUAGGUGCGUGUGUCGAGCUGCAGCAGGUCUGCACCAGGCGCGCGUUAGAGUCCAGAGUUCACAUGCCAUGCAAGUUUGUUGCUGGCAGUGAAUGAGUCGUAGAUGGUUAGGAGUGCAUGUUGCGCGUAGUGUUGAUCCAUGCAGUAGAGGCCGCAACGUCCGGAGUGAGCAGCUUGCGGGGGACGUUGCUGAGCAAGGUAUGCGGAUCGUGGUGUAGGAGUUCGUGGCAUGCAUGUUGGCCAGGUCGUGCGCAUUAGGAGAGUUCGUGCCCGUGAGCGUCAAGUUGCAUGGAUCGUGGGUGAAUGGAGGUAGUGCUCCAGUAUACACGAUGUCCAGGUCUACAAAGGCCGGUGAACUCCAUCGUUGUAACUUGCCAAGUCUAAAAAAAUAAAGUCGCCAAUAUACAGGCUAUUGUUGCGGC
Molecule: long non-coding RNA, 1613 nt
Organism: Panicum hallii
Lineage: Eukaryota; Viridiplantae; Streptophyta; Magnoliopsida; Poales; Poaceae
Exons: 2
Source: RefSeq, a predicted model, not a curated record